AACGAACGCUGGCGGCGUGUUUAAGACAUGCAAGUCGCACGGAGAAUCUUUGAAGCUUGCUUUUAAGAUUCUUAGUGGCGCACGGGUGAGUAACACGUGAGUUACAUGCCCUGCAGAGGGGAAUAGCCCGCCGAAAGGCGGAUUAAUACCCCAUGGUCCCGCAAGGGUAAAGGUGGCUUCGGCUGCCGCUGCAGGAUUGGCUCGCGUCCUAUCAGCUUGUUGGUAAGGUAACGGCUUACCAAGGCAACGACGGGUAGCUGGUCUGAGAGGACGAUCAGUCACACUGGAACUGAGACACGGUCCAGACACCUACGGGUGGCAGCAGUCGAGAAUAAUUCACAAUGGACGAAAGUCUGAUGGUGCAACGCCGCGUGGAGGAUGACGGUCUUCGGAUUGUAAACUCCUGUCAUUUGAGAGUAAGACCUGGCGGUCAAUAGCCGACAGGGUUGAUAGUAUCAAAAGAGGAAGGGACGGCUAACUUCG
This 483-nucleotide ribosomal RNA is filed under the name uncultured Haloferula sp. RNAcentral describes it as "bacterial SSU rRNA". It matches the Rfam family "Bacterial small subunit ribosomal RNA", at positions 29 to 505 of the family's 1533-position model. The record is from RNAcentral. Lineage: Bacteria; Pseudomonadati; Verrucomicrobiota; Verrucomicrobiia; Verrucomicrobiales; Verrucomicrobiaceae.